AAACACACCCCAAACCCGCCCCAAAUCCAAGCUCAAAAUAAAAUUACCCGGUCUAGCCUCUUAUCUAAACCAAACGACCCCGUUUUGCCCGUCUUUUAUCACAGCCGUUGGAUCUUACUGAUCCAACGGUUCAGAACUAACCUUCCAUUCGAUAUAAGAUUGUCCUAACUGAUCACCCCCAAUUUCGAACCCCCCCAUUUUGUCUCUUUUACAAACCCUAGUCAACCUAGCUGCUCCCAAAUUACCAAACCCCACCGGCCGGCGACACAACCCCAAUCGACCCCAAGUUCACACCCUAUAAUCACCAGGCAUCCCCAAACACAAAACCCCUAACAAUUUCCCCAAAUAAUCUUUGGAACUCAUCGAAUCCUGGAUCUAUGGUUUGACCUAGUUUCUGCGUUUUGAGAUUUUCUUGAAGUUUCUGCUCGUUUUGGAUGGAAGUCUACCCAAAUAGGUUACUCUUGAGUGGAGUAGUCAUUUAGGUCAACUUCGAGCCCUAUCGAAGCAUCUUGAAGCCUGUCAUUUGGGUCGAUCAGUAAAUUCUUGACCUCUACUCUUUGUUUUUGUUUUCUCUUCUGUUUUUCUUUCUUUAUUUCUCUUCUUCUCAAUCGGUUUUGUUUGCAUGAUAGUUUGGAACGCUUAUCAAGCGAGUUUUAUUCAUUUUUUAAUUAGUCAAUUGUGUUCAAUCAUUAUUAGCAUGUUUAAGUUCUUGGUUAAUUACAAUUUGCUUUAGGGUAAUUUAGAAUGAGCUUGAUUAGCUAUUUUAGGAUAAUUCAAAUAAGCUAAUUAGUUAAUUGAAUGUUUGAUUCUGAUUUGCACCAUUUUCUUUUUCCGUUUUACAUGAAUGUUUUGAUUCUGAUGCUGGCUGGAUAAAAAUGGUGUUCAGCCUAGGCCUGAGUUAAAUAUUACACUUGGGCCUGUUUGAGACCAUUUGGCCACGACUUGGGCCUGUUUGCCAGGGCAGUUGGCCCAAAACUGAAGGGAAAGGUUCUAGAAAGCGUACAUCUGCCUAGACUUGGUGGAAAGAGCAUGUGGAAAUAUCUGAAUAUGGACAGCUGUCCCAAAGCUACCCAGUUUCAGUUACAGAAAGAUUCCUUUCUUGAAAGCUGGGGGUGUUUUUUAGAAAAUCAGGCUUAAAUAUAGGGUUUGAAAUGAACCAAAAAAUGAGGAAGGGGUAAUAGUAAAAGAAAAAAUCAAGUUUUGUUGCCCUAAAGCCCUCCUAUAAGAAGCUCAUUUUCCUGAAUUCUAGGGCAGAGAUGGGGAGGAUCCAAAAAGAGAAAACGACUGAAAAUUUUUCCAAAAAAAAAAACUACUCAAGUUUUGAGCUUGAUUUCUUUCUUUGGCUAAAAAGUUUAGAAGUGGUCUUUCUUGGGAUUUUCUGGUUUUUCUAAGCUAAAAUAUGGAUGGAUAUUGAGGCUAUUGAGUUGAUGAUUACUACUGUUCUUUGCGGCUGGACCUGUUAUUGCUUUGCUGCUAUAAGCUGAUUUUCAAAUACAUUUCUAGUUUUCUUUUUGUUGUAUCCAGGUACUCCUUUGAAUCUCUGAAAUUUGAAGUGAAUAUGACAAUGCAUGUGUUAAGGCUGAUGUGAUUAGUUAUCAAUUUUUCCAAAAUUGGUUCCUAGGUUCUAUUAAUUUGUAUAUCUCUUCUUCUAUUAGUCACUGUUCUCUUUCGCAUAUCAGUAGAUGUAAAUCUGUGUUAGAGUAUAAAAGUUGUCAUUGUAACACAUGAAUUUUAGGACUUGAA
Molecule: long non-coding RNA, 1743 nt
Filed under: Nicotiana tabacum (common tobacco)
Lineage: Eukaryota; Viridiplantae; Streptophyta; Magnoliopsida; Solanales; Solanaceae
Description: long non-coding RNA (NTAB_LNC019489)
Source: RNAcentral